CAGCCCCUCGAGUGGUGGGGAUGAUUAUUUGGCCUAAAGCGUCCGUAGCCGGCCGUGUAAGUCUCCCGUUAAAUCCAGCGUCUCAAGCGUUGGACUGCGGGAGAUACUGCUCGGCUAGAGAGUGGGAGAGGUGUGCGGUAUUCUGGGGGUAGGGGCGAAAUCCUUUGAUCCCCGGAGGACCACCAGUGGCGAAGGCUGCACACUAGAACACGUCUGACGGUCAGGGACGAAAGCUGGGGUAGCGAACCGGAUUAGAGACCCGAGUAGUCC
This 270-nucleotide ribosomal RNA is filed under the name uncultured archaeon. RNAcentral describes it as "partial 16S ribosomal RNA". It matches the Rfam family "Archaeal small subunit ribosomal RNA", at positions 477 to 747 of the family's 1478-position model. The record is from RNAcentral.